RNAcentral lists this ribosomal RNA (445 nucleotides) under uncultured bacterium. RNAcentral describes it as "partial 16S ribosomal RNA". It matches the Rfam family "Bacterial small subunit ribosomal RNA", at positions 354 to 796 of the family's 1533-position model. The record is from RNAcentral.
GUGAGGAAUAUUGGUCAAUGGACGAGAGUCUGAACCAGCCAAGUCGCGUGAAGGAAGACGGUUCUAUGAAUUGUAAACUUCUUUUGUGCAGGAAUAAAGUGGGUUACGUGUAACCUUUUGUAUGUACUGUACGAAUAAGGAUCGGCUAACUCCGUGCCAGCAGCCGCGGUAAUACGGAGGAUCCGAGCGUUAUCCGGAUUUAUUGGGUUUAAAGGGUGCGUAGGUGGAUUGAUAAGUCAGCGGGUAAAGUUUGCAGCUUAACUGUAAAAUUGCCGUUGAAACUGUCGGUCUUGAGUGCAAAUGAGGUAGGCGGAAUGUGUUGUGUAGCGGUGAAAUGCUUAGAUAUAACACAGAACUCCGAUUGCGAAGGCAGCUUACUGGGAUGCAACUGACACUGAUGCACGAAAGCGUGGGUAUCAAACAGGAUUAGAUACCCUAGUAGUCC